UGGGGAAUUUUGGACAAUGGCGCAAGCCUGAUCCAGCCAUGCCGCGUGAGUGAAGAAGGCCUUCGGGUUGUAAAGCUCUUUCAGUUGGGAAGAAACGAUUGCAACUAAUAAUUGUAAUUAAUGACGGUACCGACAGAAGAAGCACCGGCUAACUACGUGCCAGCAGCCGCGGUAAUACGUAGGGUGCGAGCGUUAAUCGGAAUUACUGGGCGUAAAGGGUGCGCAGGCGGUUUUGUAAGUCAGAUGUGAAAUCCCCGGGGCUUAACCUGGGAAUGGCGUUUGAAACUGCAAGGCUAGAGUGUAGCAGAGGGGAGUGGAAUUACCGCGUGUAGCAGUGAAAUGCGUAGAUAUGCGGAGGAACACCGAUGGCGAAGGCAGCGUCCCUGGGCUAACGACUGACGC
This 402-nucleotide ribosomal RNA is filed under the name uncultured bacterium. RNAcentral describes it as "bacterial SSU rRNA". It matches the Rfam family "Bacterial small subunit ribosomal RNA", at positions 355 to 746 of the family's 1533-position model. The record is from RNAcentral.